This 507-nucleotide ribosomal RNA is filed under the name uncultured bacterium. RNAcentral describes it as "bacterial SSU rRNA". It matches the Rfam family "Bacterial small subunit ribosomal RNA", at positions 35 to 507 of the family's 1533-position model. The record is from RNAcentral.
GCUGGCGGCGUGCCUAAUACAUGCAAGUCGAGCGCAGGAAACAAGUAGAUCCCUUCGGGGUGACGCUUGUGGAAUGAGCGGCGGACGGGUGAGUAACACGUGGGCAACCUACCUUGUAGACUGGGAUAACUCCGGGAAACCGGAGCUAAUACGGGAUGAUCAUUUGAAUCGCAUGAUUGAAAUGUAAAAGUGGGGAGUAAUCCUCACACUAUGAGAUGGGCCCGCGGCGCAUUAGCUAGUUGGUAAGGUAAUGGCUUACCAAGGCAACGAUGCGUAGCCGACCUGAGAGGGUGAUCGGCCACACUGGAACUGAGACACGGUCCAGACUCCCUACGGGAGGCAGCAGUAGGGAAUCAUCCGCAAUGGGCGAAAGCCUGACGGUGCAACGCCGCGUGAACGAUGAAGGUUUUCGGAUCGUAAAGUUCUGUUAUGAGGGAAGAACAAGUACCGUUCGAAUAGGGCGGUACCUUGACGGUACCUAACCAGAAAGCCACGGCUAACUACGUG